Molecule: long non-coding RNA, 312 nt
Organism: Cyprinus carpio (common carp)
Lineage: Eukaryota; Metazoa; Chordata; Actinopteri; Cypriniformes; Cyprinidae
Source: Ensembl
GUUCACUUACAGACUUUGAGAUGAUCAUAUUUUCAGCUGAAAAUGGAACUGCUUAUGUUUGUUUUUGUAGUUGUAAUUUCAGCUGUCACAGCAACCGGCCCAACACAAGAUCCUAAUGAAGCUGCUAGUCCUGAGAAUGUGACUGAAGGUAGGCCUAUUUAUUUAUCUAUUUAUACAUCCAUCCAACCAUCCAUGCAUCCAUCUUUCCAUACGUCCUUCCUUUUUCUUUCUUUCUUUCUUUCUUUCUUUCUUUCUUUCUUUCUUUCUUUCUUUCUUUUCGAAUGAAUGAAUAAAGGCAAAUUCAUGUUUUCA